This 112-nucleotide ribosomal RNA is filed under the name uncultured bacterium. RNAcentral's name for it is "partial 16S ribosomal RNA". It matches the Rfam family "Bacterial small subunit ribosomal RNA", at positions 1355 to 1482 of the family's 1533-position model. The record is from RNAcentral.
UGCCGCGGUGAAUACGUUCCCGGGUCUUGUACACACCGCCCGUCAAACCAUGAAAGUGACCAACACCCGAAGUCCGAUUCGUCGGCCUAAGGUGGGGGGCAUGAUUGGGGUU